Molecule: ribosomal RNA, 274 nt
Filed under: uncultured bacterium
Lineage: Bacteria
Description: partial 16S ribosomal RNA
Rfam family: Bacterial small subunit ribosomal RNA
Source: RNAcentral
CUACGGAGGGUGCAAGCGUUGUCCGGAUUUAUUGGGUUUAAAGGGUGCGUGGGUGGCGUGUUAAGUCAGUGGUGAAAGCCUGCAGCUCAACUGUAGAGGUGCCAUUGAUACUGACAUGCUUGAGUAUGGACGAGGUAGGCGGAAUUUGUGGUGUAGCGGUGAAAUGCAUAGAUACCACAAAGAACACCGAUAGCGAAGGCAGCUUACUGGACCAUAACUGACACUGAGGCACGAAAGUGUGGGUAGCGAACAGGAUUAGAAACCCUAGUAGUCC